RNAcentral lists this ribosomal RNA (607 nucleotides) under uncultured bacterium. RNAcentral describes it as "bacterial SSU rRNA". The stretch from base 1 to 521 matches the Rfam family "Bacterial small subunit ribosomal RNA", at positions 338 to 873 of the family's 1533-position model. The record is from RNAcentral.
CCUACGGGAGGCAGCAGUGGGGAAUCUUGCGCAAUGGGCGAAAGCCUGACGCAGCAACGCCGCGUGCGGGAAGAAGGCCUUCGGGUUGUAAACCGCUUUCAGCAGGAACGAAAAUGACGGUACCUGCAGAAGAAGGAGCGGCCAACUACGUGCCAGCAGCCGCGGUGACACGUAGGCUCCAAGCGUUGUCCGGAUUUAUUGGGCGUAAAGAGCUCGUAGGCGGUUCAGUAAGUCGGGUGUGAAAACUCUGGGCUCAACCCAGAGCCUGCAUUCGAAACUGCUGUGACUAGAGUUUGGUAGGGGAGCGGGGAAUUCCUAGUGUAGCGGUGAAAUGCGCAGAUAUUAGGAGGAACACCGGUGGCGAAAGCGCCGCUCUGGGCCAAUACUGACGCUGAGGAGCGAAAGCGUGGGUAGCAAACAGGAUUAGAUACCCUGGUAGUCCACGCCGUAAACGAUGGGCACUAGGUGUGGGUUUCAACUAACGAAAUCCGUGCCGUCGCUAACGCAUUAAGUGCCCCGCCUGGGGGAGGUACGGUCGCGAGACGUAAACUACAAAGAAGUAGUAGUAACGUGUGAGAGUCGACGACGACGACGACGGAGGAGGAGG